CUCAUCCUGCCUUACCACAAACCCUUGGUCCAGAACUCAUCUUUGGCUAAUCCAGCUGUCUGUCUACAGCCUCAAGUUCACACAAGCUGGAAGCAGAACUGGAAGACAGUGGAGUUGCAAUUGCCCAC
Grammomys surdaster is the source of this 128-nucleotide long non-coding RNA. RefSeq lists it as uncharacterized. The record is from RefSeq and is a predicted model, not a curated record. The transcript is spliced from 3 exons. Lineage: Eukaryota; Metazoa; Chordata; Mammalia; Rodentia; Muridae.